This 497-nucleotide ribosomal RNA is filed under the name uncultured bacterium. Its description in RNAcentral is "partial 16S ribosomal RNA". It matches the Rfam family "Bacterial small subunit ribosomal RNA", at positions 28 to 507 of the family's 1533-position model. The record is from RNAcentral.
GACGAACGCUGGCGGCGUGCCUAAUACAUGCAAGUUGAGCGCUGAAGGUUGGUACUUGUACCAACUGGAUGAGCAGCGAACGGGUGAGUAACGCGUGGGGAAUCUGCCUUUGAGCGGGGGACAACAUUUGGAAACGAAUGCUAAUACCGCAUAAAAACUUUAAACACAAGUUUUAAGUUUGAAAGAUGCAAUUGCAUCACUCAAAGAUGAUCCCGCGUUGUAUUAGCUAGUUGGUGAGGUAAAGGCUCACUAAGGCGAUGAUACAUAGCCGACCUGAGAGGGUGAUCGGCCACAUUGGGACUGAGACACGGCCCAAACUCCUACGGGAGGCAGCAGUAGGGAAUCUUCGGCAAUAGACGAAAGUCUGACCGAGCAACGCCGCGUGAGUGAAGAAGGUUUUCGGAUCGGAAAACUCUGUUGGUAGAGAAGAACGUUGGUGAGAGUGGAAAGCUCAUCAAGUGACGGUAACUACCCAGAAAGGGACGGCUAACUACGUG